Molecule: transfer RNA, 120 nt
Filed under: Candidatus Woesearchaeota archaeon
Lineage: Archaea; Nanobdellati; Candidatus Woesearchaeota
Description: tRNA-Met
Source: RNAcentral
AGCGGGGUGGGGCAGUCAGGAGUGCCCGGAGUGAUUCAUUCCGCGAGGAGUGGUCCUGGAAGGCUCAUAUGCACUCGCUGAGAGACCCUCAGGUCAGAGGUUCAAAUCCUCUCCCCGCUA